GAGUUUGAUCUUGGCUCAGAUUGAACGCUGGCGGCAUGCCUUACACAUGCAAGUCGAACGGCAGCACGGGAGCUUGCUCCUGGUGGCGAGUGGCGAACGGGUGAGUAAUGCAUCGGAACGUAUCCUGGAGUGGGGGAUAACGUAGCGAAAGUUACGCUAAUACCGCAUAUUCUGUGAGCAGGAAAGCGGGGGACCUUCGGGCCUCGCGCUCUUGGAGCGGCCGAUGUCGGACUAGCUAGUUGGUGAGGUAAAGGCUCACCAAGGCGACGAUCCGUAGCAGGUCUGAGAGGAUGAUCUGCCACACUGGAACUGAGACACGGUCCAGACUCCCUACGGGAGGCAGCAGUGGGGAAUUUUGGACAAUGGGGGCAACCCUGAUCCAGCCAUGCCGCGUGAGUGAAGAAGGCCUGGUUGU
Molecule: ribosomal RNA, 415 nt
Filed under: bacterium enrichment culture clone ALO1_GLFRUDD03FOR54
Lineage: Bacteria
Description: bacterial SSU rRNA
Rfam family: Bacterial small subunit ribosomal RNA
Source: RNAcentral